CAAACCAAAGCUGGCGACCGGCGCACGGGUGAGUAACACGUAUCCAACCUGCCUCAUACUCGGGGAUAACCUUUCGAAAGAAAGAUUAAUAUCCGAUAGCAUAUAUUUCCCGCAUGGGUUUUAUAUUAAAGAAAUUCGGUAUGAGAUGGGGAUGCGUUCCAUUAGUUUGUUGGGGGGUAACGGCCCACCAAGACUACGAUGGAUAGGGGUUCUGAGAGGAAGGUCCCCCACAUUGGAACUGAGACACGGUCCAA
This 254-nucleotide ribosomal RNA is filed under the name uncultured bacterium. RNAcentral's name for it is "partial 16S ribosomal RNA". It matches the Rfam family "Bacterial small subunit ribosomal RNA", at positions 74 to 334 of the family's 1533-position model. The record is from RNAcentral.